Molecule: long non-coding RNA, 665 nt
Organism: Mytilus trossulus (common blue mussel)
Lineage: Eukaryota; Metazoa; Mollusca; Bivalvia; Mytilida; Mytilidae
Exons: 3
Source: RefSeq, a predicted model, not a curated record
AGGAAUUUGUGCCACACAUUUCAACAAUUUCCUUAAUGGAUUGAAUGUGCUUUUUAUGAAUUCAUCAGACAUACUUAAAGAAAAAGGAGAAUGAAACUGGAAAGAAAAUAUUUGCAGUUGCAAAAGAAUCCUGUAAAUAAAUUCAAAACUCAGCAAAAGAAGAAACAGUUUUAAACAUGGUUAAUUUAAUGAAUAAUUGGAAGGUCCCAUUGUCAUCAUUUAACAGCAGGUUAUUAGCAGCAGUUUUUCAGAAAAAUGAAGGAUAGCUGUCAAUGGUAAAUGCAGCAUCAGAAUAUUCCCCAGGAAAGUUUACUCAGAGAGUUUGGGAAAGUAUGAAUAAGAAAUUAGAGAGGGAAACAGAUAACCAGAAAACAAAGAUUUUAAAAGAAAAGAAUUGCCACUAUUAGUAAUAUGAUAUAUCUGACUGGGAGCAACAUGUACUAUUCAAUAUGGAAGGAUUGACAAUUUUGACUGAGAACAAAGUGAACUCUAAUAAUGCUAUGACUAUCAAUCAAUACUUGACUGAAUCAGAGGAGUAAACUAUUUACAUAUUUGUAAAUAUAACAGUUAUAUGUUUGCUUGAUUAUUGAGGCAUUCAAAAUAAAGAAAGUUGAAAAACCUUUGAAAAAGUUAUAAUUUCAUAAUUUUUUGGUUAUGUUACUAUG